Molecule: ribosomal RNA, 229 nt
Filed under: uncultured bacterium
Lineage: Bacteria
Description: partial 16S ribosomal RNA
Rfam family: Bacterial small subunit ribosomal RNA
Source: RNAcentral
ACUCCUACGGGAGGCAGCAGUGGGGAAUAUUGGACAAUGGGGGCAACCCUGAUCCAGCCAUGCCGCGUGAGUGAAGAAGGCCCUAGGGUCGUAAAGCUCUUUCAACUGUGAAGAUAAUGACGGUAGCAGUAGAAGAAACCCGCUACUCCGUGCCAGCAGCCGCGGUAAUACGGAGGGGGUUAGCGUUGUUCGGAAUUACUGGGCGUAAAGCGCACGUAGGCGGACUAUU